AUGUCGUCGCAGCGGAUGGGGCGUCACCAGCGCCGGGCGUCUCAGAGCGUGUUCGCGCUGCCGGAGAACUUCGCGGCCCUCGACGACGUGCCGGCGUCCGACGAGCACCGGAAGGCGGACGGCGGCGGCGCGACCGAGCAGCAGCAGCAGGGGGCGGGGCGCCACCGGCGGGCCAUGUCCAUGGCCGUCGCCUCCUCCAGGGACCUCGAGAUGAUCAAGGAGGACGUCGGCGGCUACAGCAACUACAAGAUUGGCGCCUAG
Molecule: ribosomal RNA, 261 nt
Filed under: Triticum aestivum (bread wheat)
Lineage: Eukaryota; Viridiplantae; Streptophyta; Magnoliopsida; Poales; Poaceae
Description: partial small subunit ribosomal RNA
Source: RNAcentral